GAGAGAUUCAGAGAGCAUGUCAGAGGGGAGGAGAACCAAGAUGGCUGCGGACGUGUUCCUGAGUGGCAUUUUCCAGCCACAAGUAGCUAUGAUUUCACAAGGCGGAACAUUUCUAUCUGUGUCUGGAAGUUUAGAUGUUCUUUGUGAAUGGAGCCUCACUCAUCUCUGGCUAUCUAUGCAUGCGUGCCACCCCUGUGUGGGACAAGUACGACUGGAGAGAACAGGCCUGGAACAAGCCUAUUAAGCUAUGCAUCCAGAAAUGGAUGAAUCCAUGGACAAGAUCACAGCCACCAAGACCCAAUUACAUCCCAAAGGUCUGAACUCUGCUGCAUUGAAGACAACAUCUGAGCUUUCCAGGGCGUGUGUGGAGCAGAUCAAAGAAUGUAUGAAGCCAUAGCAAGAAGGUGUUUACCUGCAAGCCAAGGAGUGAGUCCUCAGUUGUGGACUUCCAACCUUCAGAACAAAAAUAAACUUGUUUUGUUAGUCA
Molecule: long non-coding RNA, 487 nt
Organism: Mastomys coucha (southern multimammate mouse)
Lineage: Eukaryota; Metazoa; Chordata; Mammalia; Rodentia; Muridae
Exons: 4
Source: RefSeq, a predicted model, not a curated record